GUAGGUGAACCUGCGGAAGGAUCAUUAUAGAAUUAUAAGUGAGGGUUGUCGCUGGCCUUUCGGGGCAUGUGCACGCCCGAGCUCUUAAAUCCACAACACACCUGUGAACCCACCGUAGGCCUUCGGGCUUAUGCAUUUAUACUCUGUAUGUGUCAUAGAAUGUCAUGUUGCAUUAAAAAUGCAAUUAAAUACAACUUUCAACAACGGAUCUCUUGGCUCUC
This 221-nucleotide unclassified non-coding RNA is filed under the name rhizosphere metagenome. RNAcentral describes it as "partial ribosomal RNA internal transcribed spacer region". The record is from RNAcentral.